CCUAGAGCGGCGGACUGGUGAGUAACACGUGGGUGACCUACCCUUAGGAUGGGGAUAGCCACUAGAAAUAGUGGGUAAUACCGAAUGUGGUUACCGGGCUGUGGCCUGGUAAAGAAAGGAGCUAUGGCUCCGCCUGAGGAUGGGCCCGCGUCCCAUUAGUUAGUUGGUGAGGUAACGGCCCACCAAGGCGAUGAUGGGUAGCCGGCCUGAGAGGGUGAACGGCCACACUGGGACUGAGAUACGGCCCAGACUCCUACGGGAGGCAGCAGCUAAGAAUAUUCCGCAAUGGACGAAAGUCUGACGGAGCGACGCCGCGUGGAUGACGAAGGCCGAAAGGUUGUAAAAUCCUUUUGUCGAUGAAGAAUAAGCAUGGGAGGG
RNAcentral lists this ribosomal RNA (378 nucleotides) under bacterium 05.96.56. RNAcentral describes it as "bacterial SSU rRNA". It matches the Rfam family "Bacterial small subunit ribosomal RNA", at positions 89 to 463 of the family's 1533-position model. The record is from RNAcentral. Lineage: Bacteria; Pseudomonadati; Spirochaetota; Spirochaetia; Spirochaetales; Spirochaetaceae.